RNAcentral lists this ribosomal RNA (777 nucleotides) under uncultured bacterium. RNAcentral's name for it is "bacterial SSU rRNA". It matches the Rfam family "Bacterial small subunit ribosomal RNA", at positions 60 to 848 of the family's 1533-position model. The record is from RNAcentral.
AGUCGAGCGAAAUAUUGGGAGCUUGCUUUUGAUUAUUUUAGCGGCGGACGGGUGAGUAACGUGUGGGUAACCUGCCUUUUACUGGGGAAUAAUCACUGGAAACGGUGACUAAUACCGCAUACGGUUCUUGGAAGGCAUCUUCUAGGAAAGAAAGGAUUUAUUCGGUAAAAGAUGGGCCCGCAUCUGAUUAGCUAGUUGGUGAGAUAACAGCCCACCAAGGCGACGAUCAGUAGCCGACCUGAGAGGGUGACCGGCCACAUUGGGACUGAGACACGGCCCAAACUCCUACGGGAGGCAGCAGUGGGGAAUAUUGCACAAUGGGCGAAAGCCUGAUGCAGCAACGCCGCGUGAAGGAAGACGGUUUUCGGAUUGUAAACUUCUAUCAAUAGGGAAGAAAAAAAUGACGGUACCUAAAUAAGAAGCCCCGGCUAACUACGUGCCAGCAGCCGCGGUAAUACGUAGGGGGCAAGCGUUAUCCGGAAUUACUGGGUGUAAAGGGAGAGUAGGCGGCAAGGUAAGCGAUAUGUGAAAGCCUUAGGCUUAACCUGAGGAUUGCAUAACGAACUAUCUAGCUAGAGUACAGGAGAGGAAAGCGGAAUUCUUAGUGUAGCGGUGAAAUGCGUAGAUAUUAGGAAGAACACCAGUGGCGAAGGCGGCUUUCUGGACUGAAACUGACGCUGAGGCUCGAAAGCGUGGGGAGCGAACAGGAUUAGAUACCCUGGUAGUCCACGCUGUAAACGAUGAGUGCUAGGUGUCGGGGAGGAAUCCUCGGUGCCG